Vicugna pacos (alpaca) is the source of this 198-nucleotide non-coding RNA. The record is from Rfam. Lineage: Eukaryota; Metazoa; Chordata; Mammalia; Artiodactyla; Camelidae.
AAUAGUCAAACAAAUUAGCAAUGGGGCCACCAAGAAAGUACAUUCAACACUGAUUCAGAGAUAUCUCAGCUUAUCUGUUUUCUAUCAGUUAUGGAACAAGAAAGAUGAAAUAUGCAAUUAUAUACAAGGAAACAUAACUCCUAAUUCUUUCAUUCUAGAUGAAACAAGAGUUGCUUAAAAAAAUAAGACCUUUGUUUU